RNAcentral lists this ribosomal RNA (493 nucleotides) under uncultured bacterium. RNAcentral's name for it is "bacterial SSU rRNA". It matches the Rfam family "Bacterial small subunit ribosomal RNA", at positions 8 to 474 of the family's 1533-position model. The record is from RNAcentral.
AGAGUUUGAUCAUGGCUCAGAACGAACGCUGGCGGCGUGCCUAACACAUGCAAGUCGAACGAGAAACUCCGGGCUUGCUCGGAGGAGUAAAGUGGCGCACGGGUGAGUAACGCGUGGGUAACCCACCCCUUAAUUCGGGAUAACUCCGCGAAAGCGGUGCUAAUACCGAAUAUUGUCCUGGAGAUGGUGGUUUCCGGGAUAAAAGGUGACCUCUUCAUGAAAGUUGCCGUUGAGGGACGGGCCCGCGUACCAUUAGCUUGUUGGUAGGGUAAUGGCCUACCAAGGCUGCGAUGGUUAGCUGGUCUGAGAGGAUGAUCAGCCACACUGGAACUGGAACACGGUCCAGACUCCUACGGGAGGCAGCAGUGAGGAAUUUUGCGCAAUGGGGGAAACCCUGACGCAGCAACGCCGCGUGAGUGAAGAAGGCCUUCGGGUUGUAAAGCUCUGUCAAGUGGGAAAAAAGCCUUUCGGUGAAUAGCCGGAGGGGGGGANG